Molecule: ribosomal RNA, 253 nt
Filed under: uncultured bacterium
Lineage: Bacteria
Description: partial 16S ribosomal RNA
Rfam family: Bacterial small subunit ribosomal RNA
Source: RNAcentral
UACGUAGGUGGCAAGCGUUGUCCGGAAUUACUGGGCGUAAAGAGUGUGUAGGCGGUUUCGUAAGUUUGGUGUGAAAUCUCCCGGCUUAACUGGGAGGGUGCGCCGAAAACUGCGAGGCUUGAGUACUGGAGAGGAGAGCGGAAUUCCUGGUGUAGCGGUGAAAUGCGUAGAUAUCAGGAGGAACACCGGUGGUGUAGACGGCUCUCUGGACAGUCACUGACGCUGAGACACGAAAGCGUGGGGAGCAAACAGG